RNAcentral lists this transfer RNA (76 nucleotides) under Planctomycetota bacterium. RNAcentral's name for it is "Planctomycetes bacterium (groundwater metagenome) tRNA-Ala". It matches the Rfam family "tRNA". From Rfam's summary of the family: Transfer RNA (tRNA) molecules are approximately 80 nucleotides in length. The record is from RNAcentral. Lineage: Bacteria; Pseudomonadati; Planctomycetota.
GGGGGCGUAGCUCAGUUGGGAGAGCGCGACAAUGGCAUUGUCGAGGUCGAGGGUUCGACUCCCUUCGCCUCCACCA